This 70-nucleotide transfer RNA is filed under the name Pirenella cingulata. Its description in RNAcentral is "partial tRNA-Thr". It matches the Rfam family "tRNA". From Rfam's summary of the family: Transfer RNA (tRNA) molecules are approximately 80 nucleotides in length. Their secondary structure includes four short double-helical elements and three loops (D, anti-codon, and T loops). The record is from RNAcentral. Lineage: Eukaryota; Metazoa; Mollusca; Gastropoda; Potamididae.
GCAGAACGUAGCUCAAGAAGAGCGUUGGUCUUGUAAAUCAAAGGUUGGAUUUAAAUCUAUCUCGUCUGCU